CACCUCAUUUGCCUCAUUAUUUUAGUAAUGGUGCAAAUUACUUUCUAAUUGCCGCAUUUUGGUAAAAAAGAGCAUUAAAUGUAUUCUUCUAAUCUUCCGUAUUCCUAAAAUCCUUUAUUAAUUUUAUUUCCCCUUUUGUUAUUUUUAAUCAACUCUUUACUCCCAGCGUAAAACCACAAGCGGACCCUCUCAGUUCAACCUCGCUGUCGUAACUCAAGUGUUGCUCCACCUCAGAUUCACGCUGCUGUCGCAUUCUUCUCGCUGCUAGUGACUGCUUCUCCUUGUUGGUUUCGAUGAUGUUGCUAAUUAGGUGUUUGAAGAUGCAUAAUUAUGAGGAUUUCAUGAAACUCUACAAAUAGAUUUUGGGAUAUUGGGUUGAGGUUGAUGAUCUUGGUACUUCUCUUGAAGGAAAUUCUAUUGAUGUCGUUCCUCUGCUGGAAGUGUUGACAUAGAUACUUCCAGCUUCUCAGCUGGAAGUACUGAUGUUGUUCCUUUGUUAGUGUCGUUUUCUUGCAGAUGUUAGCAGGAAUGAAGAAAGGGAAACACAAGAAGCACAUGGUGCAGAUGUACAACUACGUAAUGACAAAAUGCCAAUCACAUAGAAUGGACUCUUGGUAAAUGAAAUAGUCCAUGAACAUUGUCAUGGUUCACCAACAAGCUCUACAUGGAUGAUGAAGCUGAGAACGAUUUUAAGGUGAAAAUUAAAGAGACAAUGGAGAAAGCCUUUUGGGAUGGUAUCUUGGAAUCUAUGAACCAGAAGCAGCCUGACUUCAGUUGGGUUCUUAAACUUAUGACAGAAAUUAGGGAUGAACUGUGCGAGAUGUCUCCCGGUAGCUGGCGACAUGAGAUUAUUGAUAUGAUUGAUAUUGAUAUUCUGUCACAUGUAGUUUAAUUUUUCAAGCCCAUGGACACUAUUGUACUUCAUAGACAUAUCAUUUAUCAUAGGAACAAUGCUAUCUAUUACUAUAUACUAAAAGAGACACCAUGAAUGACACGUGUCAUUUCCUGGUGCGA
Long non-coding RNA from Spinacia oleracea (spinach), 1014 nucleotides. RefSeq lists it as uncharacterized. Lineage: Eukaryota; Viridiplantae; Streptophyta; Magnoliopsida; Caryophyllales; Amaranthaceae. The record is from RefSeq and is a predicted model, not a curated record. The transcript is spliced from 4 exons.